AAAAGUGGCGAGGAAACGAGUAUGAACAUGGACGCACGAGGUUGUACGAAUCACGGGUGGUUAUCACGAGGAAUAGAGCUCGAAGAGCGAGUCACAAGCUAGAUUGUACGGGAAUAACUGAAUAUGUAUUAUUAGUAAUCAGGGCUUAUGCUUUAUUUUUUUGUAAAAGAUACAUAUUAAAACGUACUUUCAAGUAAGUCAUGACGUUAAUAAUGAAAGAAA
Helianthus annuus (common sunflower) is the source of this 222-nucleotide long non-coding RNA. RefSeq lists it as uncharacterized. The record is from RefSeq and is a predicted model, not a curated record. Lineage: Eukaryota; Viridiplantae; Streptophyta; Magnoliopsida; Asterales; Asteraceae. The transcript has 2 exons.